This is a long non-coding RNA of Oncorhynchus tshawytscha (Chinook salmon), 897 nucleotides long. RefSeq lists it as uncharacterized. Lineage: Eukaryota; Metazoa; Chordata; Actinopteri; Salmoniformes; Salmonidae. The transcript is spliced from 2 exons. The record is from RefSeq and is a predicted model, not a curated record.
UGUUCCUCAUCAGAGGAUACCUAGGAGAUAACAUGGGGGGGGUGUUCCUCAUCAGAGGAUACCUAGGAGAUAACAUGGGGGUGUUCCUCAUCAGAGGAUACCUAGGAGAUAACAUGCAGAGGGAUGGGGGUAGAGUGCAUAUGUCAUACAUUUUGGCAAAGCUUUCAUGUACAGUACAAAUGUUUGUGUAUGCGAGGGAGAGAGUGUGUGUGUGUGUGUGUGUGUGUGUGUGUGUGAGUGUGUUGUGUGUGUGUGGGUUGGAGGGGUAACUCUUUGAAGGACUCAUUCUGUUUUAUUAAAAGGAGAGGUUGACCUGUUAUCACCGUUCUAGAGACUACAUCCUGUCAAUCUAUUAAAGGAGAGGUUUCUGUCAAUAUAUUAAAGGAGAGGUUUCUGUCAAUCUAUUAAAGGAGAGGUUUCUGUUAAUCUAUUAAAGGAGAGGUUUCUGUCAAUAUAUUAAAGGAGAGGUUUCUGUCAAUCUAUUAAAGGAGAGGUUUCUGUCAAUCUAUUAAAGGAGAGGUUUCUGUUAAUCUAUUAAAGGAGAGGUUUCAGGGACCUGUUAUCACCGUUCUAGAGACUACAUCAUGUCAAUCUAUUAAAGGAGAGGUUUCUGUCAAUCUAUUAAAGGAGAGGUUUCAGGGACCUGUUAUCACCGUUCUAGAGACUACAUCCUGUUAAUCUAUUAAAGGAGAGGUUUCAGGGACCUGUUAUCACUGUUCUAGAGACUACAUCCUGUUAAUCUAUUAAAGGAGAGGUUUCUGUCAAUAUAUUAAAGGAGAGGUUUCUGUCAAUCUAUUAAAGGAGAGGUUUCAGAGACCUGUUAUCACCGUUCUAGAGACUACAUCCUGUUAAUCUAUUAAAGGAGAGAUUUCAGGGACCUGUUAUCACCGUUCUAGA